RNAcentral lists this ribosomal RNA (526 nucleotides) under uncultured bacterium. Its description in RNAcentral is "bacterial SSU rRNA". It matches the Rfam family "Bacterial small subunit ribosomal RNA", at positions 774 to 1296 of the family's 1533-position model. The record is from RNAcentral.
AGUAAAUAGAUACCCCGGUAGUCCACGCCGUAAACGAUGUCGACUUGGAGGUUGUGCCCUUGAGGCGUGGCUUCCGGAGCUAAACGCGUUAAAGUCGACCGCCUGGGGAGUACGGCCGCAAGGUUAAAACUCAAAUGAAUUGACGGGGGCCCGCACAAGCGGUGGAGCAUGUGGUUUAAUUCGAUGCAACGCGAAGAACCUUACCUACUCUUGACAUCCAGAGAACUUAGCAGAGAUGCUUUGGUGCCUUCGGGAACUCUGAGACAGGUGCUGCAUGGCUGUCGUCAGCUCGUGUUGUGAAAUGUUGGGUUAAGUCCCGCAACGAGCGCAACCCUUAUCCUUUGUUGCCAGCGGUUAGGCCGGGAACUCAAAGGAGACUGCCAGUGAUAAACCUGGAGGAAGGUGGGGAUGACGUCAAGUCAUCAUGGCCCUUACGAGUAGGGCUACACACGUGCUACAAUGGCGCAUACAAAGAGAAGCGACCUCGCGAGAGCAAGCGGACCUCAUAAAGUGCGUCGUAGUCCGG